RNAcentral lists this ribosomal RNA (716 nucleotides) under uncultured bacterium. Its description in RNAcentral is "bacterial SSU rRNA". It matches the Rfam family "Bacterial small subunit ribosomal RNA", at positions 771 to 1501 of the family's 1533-position model. The record is from RNAcentral.
AACAGGAUUAGAUACCCUGGUAGUCCACGCCGUAAACGAUGCUAACUCGUUUUUGGGUUUUCGGAUUCAGAGACUAAGCGAAAGUGAUAAGUUAGCCACCUGGGGAGUACGUUCGCAAGAAUGAAACUCAAAGGAAUUGACGGGGGCCCGCACAAGCGGUGGAUUAUGUGGUUUAAUUCGAUGAUACGCGAGGAACCUUACCAAGGCUUAAAUGGGAAUUGACAGUUUCAGAAAUGAGAUUUUCUUCGGACAAUUUUCAAGGUGCUGCAUGGUUGUCGUCAGCUCGUGCCGUGAGGUGUUAGGUUAAGUCCUGCAACGAGCGCAACCCCUGUCACUAGUUGCCAUCAUUAAGUUGGGGACUCUAGUGAGACUGCCUACGCAAGUAGAGAGGAAGGUGGGGAUGACGUCAAAUCAUCACGGCCCUUACGCCUUGGGCCACACACGUAAUACAAUGGCCGGUACAGAGGGCAGCUACACAGCGAUGUGAUGCGAAUCUCGAAAGCCGGUCUCAGUUCGGAUUGGAGUCUGCAACUCGACUCUAUGAAGCUGGAAUCGCUAGUAAUCGCGCAUCAGCCAUGGCGCGGUGAAUACGUUCCCGGGCCUUGUACACACCGCCCGUCAAGCCAUGGAAGUCUGGGGUACCUGAAGUCGGUGACCGUAACAGGAGCUGCCUAGGGUAAAACAGGUAACUAGGGCUAAGUCGUAACAAGGUAACC